Molecule: long non-coding RNA, 2054 nt
Organism: Oncorhynchus tshawytscha (Chinook salmon)
Lineage: Eukaryota; Metazoa; Chordata; Actinopteri; Salmoniformes; Salmonidae
Source: Ensembl
GUGCUUCUAACCUUGUCUGGUGUGCAUGGUGGGUCUGUAGGUGUAGUGCUACGUUUGGUGCGUGUGAGAUUGAAGGGAGUGGUGCUAGGAAUGUUAUCAGGGAUAUGGGUUGGGGUGAGAAGGGUUGAUGCUUUAGUAUGUGUUUGUUGUUCUAUUAACCAUGUGAGAGUGCCUAAGGACACCCCAAAGAUCAGUAGGAAUAUCACAAACAAAGGGCCAGAUAUCCCCAGCCUCACCCAGGGAGGGAGAAAUGUCCCUCUAACUGGGCGAGGUUCCUUUUUCAGGGAGGCGGAGUUUGAUGCCGCAUCACCUGAGGAAGGAGUGUCUUCAUUUGGAAUCGAAUUUAGGCCGCUCAAAUCAGCUCUGACUUCGGUCAGUGUUUUGGAAGGAGUUGGGGCUAGGGUGCAAUGUGUAAGGUGGUGCCAAGGUGCGCCUAAUUUACCUUUGACCUGGACUGAGUGUGAAGUAACCUCCUUCACUUCGUACGGUCCAGUCCACCUGGGUUCCAGCCACUUUCUCGUGUGGACUUUAACCCUACCCAGUCACCAACCUUUACCUUCAGUGGUGGCGUGUCCCCCGGCAGCUCCCCUUCCUGGACCUUGUGAACCUGGGUAGAGAGUGCUGCAGAGAGAACCGUCAGUUUUUUCACAUAAUCAGACAUUACACUUUGUUGUACAUCAAGGGCGGGCAUAUGACCUCCCUCCCUUGGUGGACCAGGCAUGACUCUUCCAGACACUUUUGCUAUCUUAGCUUUCAAAAUCUGAUUUAGCGUUCCAACAGACCUUGGGACCGGGGGGUGGUACACAGAACCAAAUCUGUGUGUUAUGCCAAAUCUUUCUUCCACCUGUCUCAGGUGUUUGUUAUUGAAAUGUGAGCCAUUUGUCAAAUUUGAUUUUUUUCUUUGGAUGCCAUACCUGGGUAUUAGUUUGGUUUGUUAGCCAUUUAAUGACUGACUCGGCAUCCUUCCUUGCUGUUGGUAUUGCCUCUACCCAUUUGGAGAACCUAUCUAUCAUAACUAGGAGAUAGUGUUUAUCUUUAGAAUACAUUGUCGGGGCCCAUGUCGGUGUAAUCUAUACUAAUGUCCUGAAAACAUGCAUUAGGUACUGGGUAUUAGCCCCUCGGUGUUUGAUAUGAUUUCUUUGGGUUGUGGCUGCCACCUAUGUUGCAUUUGUCACAAAAUAAGUCAGUCAUACCUAAUCAUAUGAGGGUGCCACCAGAUGUGCGAGACCUUUUGAAGGGUCUUUAGUUUGCCUUUGUGUGUGGGGCCAUGUGCUUCUCGUAAAAGUUCUGGGUCCAUCAAUGUGGACUGCUCCAUGGGCAUAGGCUGAGUCUGUAUAGUUAUUCACAGUCUUUCCUUUUCCUCUGAUGAGGGCCUGCGUCAAUCCGAUGAUUUCAGCUAAUUGAGCAGGUACUGGUUGAGGGAUGAUGCUUGAUUGCAGGGUGACAUCACGAGGUGAGCUGUUUUUUCAAUAGCUUUUGCUACUGCAGCAACGUAUCUGGAGCAUGUUGUCUGUCCUACCUCAAUGUGGUCAAGUUUGGAAGAGUAGUACAUCAAGACCCUUCUCUCCCCCUCUUGUUUCUGGAAUAGGACGGAUGAGGUGAAUCCUUCCUUUUCAGAAACAUCCAAAUGGAACUUGUUCUUGUAGUCAGGUGCAGUCAGAGCUCCUGCCGCUGAUAGCUCUGUUUUCAGGAGUGCUAUGGCUGUUGAUGCUCCAGCCGUCCAGGCCAGGGGUGCAUGGAGGUUCCUUGGUCGUAGGAUGACCAGUGCUGCCACCCCCUCUGGGCCUCACACAAUAGUACAACACCUGAUAGGUGGGGUGAGGUGCAUCAUGUCUUCGUCCCAGUCUGCAGUGUAGGGGCAGCCAUCAGUGCCUCAGCUUGGGGAGUCUUGUAUGGGUGCAGAGUGUAGAUGUGAGGGGUGGUAGGCCCUGUGGGUAGGCAUUUUAGCCAGUAUACUUCUUGGGUUUCAGACAGCGUGGGCGUCGGCUGGAGUGGCAUCAUCAUAAUUCUUGCUGGGCGAUCAGGUGUUGGUGGAUACUUCCACUCCACUUUCA